Long non-coding RNA from Cyprinus carpio (common carp), 474 nucleotides. Lineage: Eukaryota; Metazoa; Chordata; Actinopteri; Cypriniformes; Cyprinidae. The record is from Ensembl.
UUAAAAUAACUGAGUGCAUUUUUAAAAGGCCAAGUGUGCCGGGCUAUUGGCUGAUACUGAUCUCAACAUGAAUACAUUUUAGCCAACUACAUUCAGAAUGCUUUGAAUUCUUUUUUACCUUCUGGAUGUCCUUGACUCAAAUUGACCUGCAUAGUUAUUUUUUGAAGGACGUUUUACUCGCAGACUCACUUUAAACCAUGCGUUCUGACAGCCAUGAAUCAUCUGAGUGUCACAAGGGUCUGCAUCAAUUUGUUCUGUGUGUAAUUUCUCCUGUUCUGCUCUGCUGACAGCAGUGUUUCUCUGUCCGCAGCUGGAGAGGAGAAGAACAAGUAUGGGGCCCUUUGUUACCAUGCUGAGAGAGACUGAUCGGGGGUUAAUUGAAAUAUGCACCCACAAGAUUUGUGGCACGAAGUACAAAGUCAUCAUUCAAAUGUAAGUAUGUGGGUUUUUUUUUCUGUGCACAUCCAUUACUGA